This 141-nucleotide transfer RNA is filed under the name Candidatus Woesearchaeota archaeon. RNAcentral describes it as "tRNA-Leu". The record is from RNAcentral. Lineage: Archaea; Nanobdellati; Candidatus Woesearchaeota.
GCGGGGGUAGCAAAGCCUGGCCAAAUGCGCAGGACUUAAGAUCCUGUCACUUAGUGUGUUCGAGGGUUCGAAUACUUAGCAACGAAGUCGAUAAAGAUUCGGAAAAGAUUCCGUUGUAGGACGAAUUUCCCUUCCCCCGCA